GUGACAUCAUCAAAUGAAAUUUGCAAGAUGUUGAAUUCAGAAUUCUCGGAUUUCAAAUAUUUCUUGUUUUAAAUGUGCUGGUUUGUCAACAUGGACCAGCUAUGUAAUUUUUUAAUGUUCUGCAGGUCCGUUUAUGCUUCUCAUCACCAGCUUGUGCCGAGCACCAGCCAUGCCUAGGGAAGCUGUGGAGGGAAACACAUCAGUCACGCUCAAUACAGACUUCUGGUGAGUGCCUCUCCCACCACGAGAGAAGAAGCACGGAAGGAGCCGCGGAGAGCGGACCGGUAGAGGCUUCGGGACAGACUGUAGAGAAGAAGCACGGAAGGAGCCGCGGAGAGCGGACCGGUAGAGGCUUCGGGACAGACUGUAGAGAAAGAAGCACGGAAGGAACCGCGGAGAGCGGACCGGUAGAGGCUUCGGGGCAGACUGUAUAAGGAGAGAAUAAAGAAAAGCCUGACCACC
This is a long non-coding RNA of Cavia porcellus (domestic guinea pig), 462 nucleotides long. RefSeq lists it as uncharacterized. The transcript has 2 exons. The record is from RefSeq and is a predicted model, not a curated record. NCBI's taxonomy places the organism in Eukaryota, Metazoa, Chordata, Mammalia, Rodentia, Caviidae.